This 1031-nucleotide long non-coding RNA is filed under the name Salvator merianae (Argentine black and white tegu). RNAcentral's name for it is "lncRNA (ENSSMRG00000022048.1)". Lineage: Eukaryota; Metazoa; Chordata; Lepidosauria; Squamata; Teiidae. The record is from RNAcentral.
GUUUUGAUUAAACCCAGUGAAACUGUGCUGCUUUUAUGUAUAAAAUACAGAAACAAUACAAACUUGAUUUAAAAACCCAGGAUUCUAACCAGUAUAUAAAGACAAAGGAAGACACAGCAUGCUUCAGCCAACCAGUCACGGCUUCCACUUCUCAGCAGACCCAAGGAAAUUUCUCACCUAUCACAUCUGAGGCACCAGAUUUCUCCACAGUGGCACACCAAGCAAGCCAAGGACAUAAAUGGAGUCUAGGACACAUAGUUUCCAGCCAGCAUCCACAGAAGAAGCAAGAGCCAAUAGGUUUUGGCCAGCUGCUGCAAGGCCAGUUCUCAGUCAAGAAUUUACAGGCACCGGUUGCCACCAUGGGCCACCAGGAAACUCAAAGCAGGAGUCCAAGUGAAGUAGGGGCAGCCAGUGGCAGUGGAAUGCAGCACCUGCCCUCAAAGACUGGCAUGCAAAAUCCAGCAGCUGGUGGUAAAAUGAAUUCUCCCUCUGUGCCUCCUUCAUCUGCUCAGUAUAUAAAGAUAAAGCAAGAGACAGAGUGCUUCAGCCAACCAGUCAUGGUUUCCACUUCUCAGCAGACCCAAGGACUCUUUUCACCUAUCAAAUCUGAGGCACACCAAGCAAGCCAAGGAUAUAAACGGAGUCCAGGACACACAGAUUCCAGCCAGCCUCUUCAGAAAAAGCAAAAGGCAUCACCUUUCNGCCAUCCAGCUGUGGUUAGCAGUUCUCAGCAGCUCCAAGGCCAGUUCCCAGUCAAGAAACCUCAGGCACCGGUUGCCACUGUGGGCCACCAGGGAAGCCAAGGCAGGAGUCUGAGUCAAGCAGAGGCAGCAAGUGGCAGUGGAAUGCAGCACCUGCCCUUGAAGAUUGGCAUGCAAAAUCGAGUAGCUGGUGGUAAACUGAAUUCUCCCUCUGUGCCUCCUUCACCUGCUCAGAGUCAAAAACUGUCUAAACCACCACAGUAUUCAUCCAAGAAAAAUGAGGUAAUAAUUUUUUUAAGUAACAUUAUUAUUAAUAAGAACAAAAUACAC